Long non-coding RNA from Ahaetulla prasina, 353 nucleotides. RefSeq lists it as uncharacterized. NCBI's taxonomy places the organism in Eukaryota, Metazoa, Chordata, Lepidosauria, Squamata, Colubridae. The record is from RefSeq and is a predicted model, not a curated record. The transcript is spliced from 3 exons.
CAAAGAACAAGCCAGGAGAUAACAUAAGAUUAAUCUCAAAACAACACUGAACAUCUUCAAGAUUUUUCCGCAGGCUUGAUGCUUAGUUUAUGAUACCUGUGAAACCAACUCAAAGUACUUGCAGCUGUAUGCAGAAGAGGGAGUUAUGAGCCAGAACAUGGAGCAACUAGACUUUCAAUUAUCCUGAUGCAACUGAGGCUAACAAAGUUGAAUUACUAGUGAGAGUUUAUGAUCCUUCAAGUAAUAAAACAAUGCUUUCGCAGAGACGGACAGCAGGAGGACAGCCUGUCAGAAUAUAUUAAAUUAAUUUCAAUCAGUUCCAUGGAAGAAUGAAGGAAAGUGGCAACGGCAGU